This is a long non-coding RNA of Oncorhynchus tshawytscha (Chinook salmon), 497 nucleotides long. The record is from Ensembl. Lineage: Eukaryota; Metazoa; Chordata; Actinopteri; Salmoniformes; Salmonidae.
GUGUGAUUAGUCUGUGUUCUGACCACAGAGGAAAGGAGGAAUGCAAAUGCCUAUACAGACGCCCUAUCUAAUAACCGAGCCAUGAAAUCUCUCCCAUCUCCCAUAGGGCCUCACCUGCAGCAAAACAACUAAAGCAUUGUGGGUGUUCCAUUCAUCUCGCCGGGGAGCGCGUGGAAACGUGUUUCAACUGGCUGAAAGAUGAUUGCAUUAGUGGGUGUGAGCCGAUGACGUGACGAUCUUUUACCCCGGAUCAACCCUGGUCAGCGAUGAGGUGACGAUCCUUUACCCCGGAUCAACCCUGGACAGAGAUGACGUGACGAUCCUUUACCCCGGAUCAACCCUGGACAGAGAUGACGUGACGAUCCUUUACCCCGGAUCAACCCUGGACAGAGAUGACGUGACGAUCCUUUACCCCGGAUCAACCCUGGUCAGCGAUGACAUGACGGUCCUUUCCCCCGGAUCAACCCUGGUCAGCGAUGACGUGAUGGUCCUUUCCC